Molecule: non-coding RNA, 30 nt
Filed under: Halopenitus persicus
Lineage: Archaea; Methanobacteriati; Methanobacteriota; Halobacteria; Halobacteriales; Haloferacaceae
Source: RNAcentral
GUUUCAGACGAACAUUUGAGGAGUUGAAGC